UGAUUAGAGUAACAACUCAACAACGUCC
This 28-nucleotide small RNA is filed under the name Bombyx mori (domestic silkworm). RNAcentral describes it as "ovarian small RNA-33003". Lineage: Eukaryota; Metazoa; Arthropoda; Insecta; Lepidoptera; Bombycidae. The record is from RNAcentral.